Long non-coding RNA from Nothobranchius furzeri (turquoise killifish), 9176 nucleotides. RefSeq lists it as uncharacterized. The record is from RefSeq and is a predicted model, not a curated record. Lineage: Eukaryota; Metazoa; Chordata; Actinopteri; Cyprinodontiformes; Nothobranchiidae.
CUUGCUUGUUACCACAUUCCACCCGGCCACAAUAAAAUACCGGCCAUUAUUCACCUCCGCUGACUCCGACACCGGCCAAAAUAUGAUGCCCGGCCGUUAAUUGAAUACAGGCCAAUAUUAGAGGAUUUACGGUAUGCAUUCAUUUUUUGAGGAAUUUAAACAAGUUGGGAGCUUCAGAAUUGCUUUUGAAAUAUUUAUGACUGAAUCAUCCCUCAAAAUCUCAUUAAACGUCAUUUAAAACUUACUGCAAAAAGCAUUGUUAGGAAAAACAAGCCUCUUUAUUAGAAAAAGAGGCAGAUAUUAUGCUGAUGUGUAUGAGAUGUUACUUUUCUUAAAGAAUGUUGGUCUUUUGUUCCUCACACAAACCACGGUCAGCCUUCUCUCAUCUGUCUUUACUUUAUGCUCUGUGAACACAUACAUACAGAAUGAUGCGUGGAGAGAGAGGAAACCUGACGGUGGUUGCAAUCCGCAGACAAAGAGAGCUGGGCAGCACUGAGGGACACUGAGCAUAGAGAGAGCAGUGUGUGGCCCCGGGCUCUUGGCCCACGCUGAUCGGGAUGAGUGGAAGAUAAAAACAUGGUUACUGCCGUCUCUGGGGAAGGAGGAAUAAAUGCAGUAUUAAACAAAAUGUUGACAGUGAUGUGGAUGCUGACUGAGAGCUUCUGACUGAAAACAUGAAAAACAGCAAGCCACAUUGCUGUGUGUAGAUUCUAAGGGCCAGAAUACACUUGCUGUUUAACGGUGCGUACACGUUUUUAAAAUGGCUACCUCAUGCAACUUGCAUUGAUUUGAAGCGUUGUUUGGUUCUAAUAUCCCUCUGGGAUUAAUAAAGUAUCUUUGAUUUGAUUGAUUGAUUGAUUGAUUGAUUGAUUGAUUGAUUGAUUGAUUGUGCGGAAUUGACGCAUGUGCAUGCUGCAAUAUACGAGUAAACAGUAGGUGGAGUUGACAAAACGAACAAGACACACUCACGGUCACUCCGUCUCUGGUUUAGAGGUCUUUCAUACUAUCUACGAUUCCGCUACCAUCUAUUUUUUCUGUCCUGAUCUCAAAAUUAACAAGUAGCUGAUCGUUUAUAUUGACGCCAUGUUUGGCACUCUGUUUGGUUUGAGUUCUCUAGUGUGCCCCUAGUAGAAACCUUCCAGUACUACAUGCAGAGUAGUGCAGCUGCAGAUAUGUGAACAAAGAUGCAGCUUGCUGCCUGCACCAAUGCAUGUUUAAAAAUCAAGUAUAUUCCAAUUCUUAAAUUAAAGAAGAUGAGUAACUGUGACUAUCUGUGACUGGCAAUCCUUCAGAUCUAUAAGGAACAAAUGUACUCAGUCAAUCAGAAAAGCUAAAUCUGAAUAUUAUAAGAGCCAGUUUCUGAUGAGUAGUUUAGAGCUCAAAAGGUUUUUGCCAGACUUUCAAGAUUAUGGAAAAUACCAACAAGUCUUCAAUUUCGCCAAAAAUAAUCAAUUCUGAUAGCAUUGCUGUCUCAGAUAAAAUUACAAUGGUAAUGUACUUUAAUAAUCACUUUUCCAAGUCCGGUCAUGCCUUUGCUACAGCUUCACCUGUUUCUGGUGUUUCUGACCUCAACUCAACUACAGUGAUUCUCUCUCCGCAACCAACUCCUGUUUUUCCAUUCAGUUGUUUCAGGUAAAUAAGGCACUUGAUGAGUUACUCAGGUUGGAUCCUCAGCCGGAAUUCAAAAGUUAGCCAAGAAACAGCUAACACAAUAUCUGGAAACCAGCAGAAUUCUUACCCCCAUGUAGUCUAGCUUCAGAACUGGCCAAAGUGCUAAAUGACAUCAUAUGUACCAUUGAUAAUAAGGAAUAUUGUGUAGUUGUGUUUGUUAUCUUGGCUAAAGCCUUUGACUCUGUAGAGCAUAACAUCUGCAGGCUCAAACAUAUACUUUCUCAGGCAUCUGCGGCAUGGUUCAGAAGUUAUGUCGUAGGCUGUGCAGUUAGAACAGAAGUUUACCAAUCUGCUCCUCUUCAUCUAUCUAUGGGCGUGUCAUGUUCCUGAGCCGAGGUGAGUGACAACAUCUCCCAUCUCACCACUAUCAGGCUGAUUUUCCACAGGUGAGGAGCGGAGGGGUUUGCAGCUGCAGAAGAUUCCCAAUCAGGAACUCGGGUAUAAAAGGAGGAUGGAGGCACUUCACUACACCGGAUGAUUGCACCAGUAUAGGAUCUCAUUACCUACCGCAACUUUGCGGUUUAAAAACCUGGACUGUUCACACCACGUCUCAUCCUCCUCCGCUGUUACCUGUUUGGACCCUCUCCACUGCCUCACCUAUCCCGGAUCACCCCUGGACUCAUCAGAGCUCACCUCGGCUCUCUCGCCUUUCCCCCCCCCCUCAUUCUCCCUGAACUCUGAAUGAACUUGAGCGAUUGAUCUACCCCACAGGACUUCCCUGUGCUCUUUUUGUUCUCCUUAUAAUAAAGACUUUUACUUUGAUUCAACCAGUUCCACGAGUCAGUUUCUGCAUGUCUUGGGUUAAACACAUACCUCGAGUCAUGACAGGGCGUUCCUCAAGGGUCGAAAAAUAAGAGUGGAGAUUCAAAGUAAAUAAGUUCAUCUGUUUUAUUGCUUGAGUGAAUUUUACUCCAUUUUGUAGGGUAAACUCAGACUUAGUUGGUUAAUGUGCAUUUAAUGCUAUAACAUGAUCUAAUACCGUGGUUUGGAUAACUGUGUUCACCAGAGUUUACUGAAGGUUCUUUGUGCUUUUGAAAUUACAAACCUCUGAACAAAGGCAGAUUUCUAACAUCCGUAGAGUAUUAGAUGGGGAAUGUCCUCUAAUCAUCGGUGAGAUGAAGUUUAGCUCAGGCUGCUUUGCUUUUCCCCAGAAUUAAUGAGGGCUUGAACGUAUCCCUGGAGCUGAAAUAAGUCCUUGACUAAAAACUUUUUAACAGUUUUGAUCAAAAUGCCAACUUUCCAGUUUUUACAACAUUUCAAAGUAAAAUACCGCUGCUCCUCUACUUAUUUACUAUUACCUACAAUAACUUUUUCAGUUUGAACUCAAAUCUGCUGUUUCAGUUGUUUUUGUUGUCAGAGUUGAGACACAUACUAGUGCUAAAUAUUGUGAAACAUCUUUACUUAAAACUCUGUUUUGAAUUGUUUGAGUCAACCUCUGUUGGCAAAACAAGGAAACGAGGAGGCGUCAGAGGACUGGAACUGCUCCCAGCGACGGGGGACACUGAGCCAGGGACAAGUACUCAAACCGGGACUUGUCCUGCAGCUCUGCCCACCUGAAUCAUCCUACUAUGCCCUGACCGUUGGGCAGGGUCACGGGGGAAGAUUUCUGGCGGCGUGGGCGUCUCCGGCAGCGAGGUGGUGACAUCAGGAGUUUGGACUGGGACAACAGAGCAGGGGCCUCUUGGACAGGCAGCGCAGCUCUGGUCUCGGGGGAGAGGAGGAGCUCGGGCUGAGCUGGCGGAUGGAAGUAGAUGAUAUUCAAGAUGGCUGUACCAUUAGUAGGGUUUCCUGUUGAAUAGAUCAUUACAUUAUUAGGGUUCCAAGCCCAAAGGGCAUUGGAACCCUAUUGUUUGUCUACGGAUUUUUCAUUAUUCUUCUUCUCCGCUAAUACUGUAUCGGGGCAAGAGCCUGAAAUUGCCAGGAAAAAUCUGAUAUGGCAAUCUGAUAGAAAAUCCUGACCGCUACUCAGAUUCGAAAAUUUGGACCCCGAGUCACCUAGGUGGCGCUAUUGCGGAGGUGAAUACGUUUCAGCUACUAGCUCCCAAACCAUAGGUCCUACAGUAAAAAAAACUUUAUAUGGACAUGAUCCUUGGAUGAUUCUGCAUCUUUUUUGUAUUGGCCACGCCCAUUUCCGCCUAACUAGAUUUUUUUGCCAGAUCGCAAAAAACGUGAAACAUAGUUUUAAUCACCUAUUCGUCAUUUUUCAUCGAAUCAAGUUCAAACUUUGUACAUAUGAUCUAUGGAUUAAGCUAAGUUGUUGUGACGAAGCGGAAUUAUUGAAAAUUGGGCUAAUGACGCCAUGUCAAAUUCAGUGCGCUAGCUAGCACAUGUGAUAAUUGAUGAUAUCUUCACCAAUUUUCAAGAUAAAAAGAUGAGAUUCUAGACCCUUACAAAGUAUGAGCGGUAAGCCCUAUCUACCAAAUUUUGUUUGGAUUCACCUAUAGGGGGCGCUAAAGAGUCAAAAAGUUUGUUUCAGCAAAACGGCUUGAUGGGUUUCCACAAAACUUGGCAGAUAUGUUUGUUAUCGGACCCUUAAGCUAUAUUUUGAAAAUGAUUAAAAAGUGGGCGUGGCUUAUAGGCUUUAAAAUGUUUCGCCCUUUAACUCAUGAAAAAUAUAUAUUCUGUACAGAAAGUUACAAUUCAUAUCAGUCAUAGUGGCAUCUACAAUCACAGAAAAAAUUUUACAAUUUUGUCCAAUAGGUGGCGCUGUUGCAGCCAAAAAAGUUUUUGGCAUGUUUCUCCCCAUUCCUUUCGUAAAAAAAAACAAAUGAUCUCAUCCUGUAUGUUCAUUGAGUCAGUCAAAUUUAGAUGAGUAUUUUAAAAAAUGUUUUAAACUUAUGCAAAUUAGUAGAAAUUUGCAUAGUAAGUCCAACGUACUUUCGUUAACUCCUCCCGGCCGUCAAGCACAAUCACAUCACAACUUUGCCUGACAAGAGAGGAGGAGCGGCUGACCAAACGUUGUGAAGGGAUUUGUAUAAUUUGCUUAUUUGUUUUUAUAUGAUUUUUUAAAAUAAUUUUUUUUUUGGAAUGAAAACUUUUUUUAGCAUAACUUCAAAAGAUUUUGACAUUUUUCAAAGCUAUUCAUAACCACCAUACCUAAGGUAAAUUCAAGUGUAUGUCUUAUUUUCAACUUGAUUCAACAAUAGGGGGCGCUAUAAAUGGGAAGAAAUUAUACUGCUGAACUGGCUAAAUGGAUCGACACGAAACUUUGUGGUUGUCAUCAUUAUAGAGUCUCAAGACGAUAUUAUCAAUAUGGUAAUGAUUGAUCAAAGUGGGCGUGGUUUAUGAUCAUUUAAAAUUUAAAAUUUGAAAAACUUCCUACAAAUCAAUAUUUGCAUGUAAGAGGCUACAAUUUGCAGGUUGUGUUAACUGGGUAGCCUUGAGCUUAGAUCACGAAAAUUGCAGCUCCACGAAGAGGUUUGCGCAUUAUAUUUACGAAAAUACAUUUUUAGGCUAGCAGUUGUAGCACAAAUUCGGUUAGGACAAUCUUCUUGAAAUUUGCCAAAAUGUUCAAUCUUAGGUGGUUUACGAAACACAUGAAAUGUCAUCUUGAUUUGAGCACCCCCUUGUGUUUAAUUAUAGGACUUAUUUUUGUUUACAGCCACUAUCGCAAAUAUUAUUUUAUUGUAAGAACAGCUAAUCAUUUAUGAUCCUUAUAAAAAUAUAAGCAGAAUAUGCACAUCACAGAGGCAAUCUGGGAAUAUUUUGAGAUUUUUGUACAAAAGCAUUGAUUUUUAAUGAAUUUUUUACUUUUUGCCAGUUUUUCUGUAUAGUUGGACAAAAAGUAAAUAAUUUUUGUUAGAAAGUUUUUUUUUUAGGUAUAAAGUAAAUAUAAAACAUUUAUAACAUUCCACAUGUACCUAAGGUGAUCUGAGAUUUUUCUAUUAAUUUUAAAAAGUAGCACUAUUUUUUUAUGAAUAUUUUAAUUUUGGCUGUGACCCUUAUAGUUAUAUUUACCAAUUUUUCUUCAAAAAAGCUUUGAAUCUACUGAUUUAAAAACAACAGCAUAUUAUUCCAAUUGUUAACAUUGCCGUGUGAGAAUAUUUUGGUAAUUUUAUGAUGAUUUAUGGAUUUUUCAGGAUUUUUUGAAAUCAUUUGAUCAGUGAAUCACAAAAUGAAACUCAGUUUUUGUUGAAAAUCUAUUCAAUCUAUGGACAUUAUCAAGUAUUGAUGUUAUUCCUAAUAUACUCUUGAUGUAUAGAUUAUUGUUUGGUAAUCUUUAGAUCAAAUAUGGAUUUUAUAAUGAAGUUUUUGUUUUGGAGUCUUUCAUCCAUGCAACCACUCAGCCACACGCUGGUGGGAAUGGGCUACAAUGUAGCCACACCUUCCCUGAGGUGCACUGAGAGGCAAGGCAGCAUUUUCUGGUCAGAGUUGGGAUCGAUCCUUCAACCUAUCGAUUGUCGCACAUGCCGCUCCACUUCCUGAGCUAAUUCUGUCCCAUGCAGAACAUGAUUUUGCUCAUUAAAUCUUCACGUUCUUCGAUAAGGAAACAGUGGAAUUUGAUUGUAAUCACGAUUGAGAAGUCAGCCAUGCCUGUGAAAGAUACGUGUAUAGGCUAAGCAAAAGGUUUCAUGACGUAUCCUGAGUGUUACUUUCAUUGCGCCGGUUGAAGUGAGCUAACGGGACGCCGGCGGGAGAACGUGCUUUUGGAGCGGGACCGCGUGAGGACUGGCGAAGGUGAGGGCGGGGUCGGGUGGGCGACUGGCGCUAGUGGCUUGGAACCCGUUGAUAACUGCUUGCAGUUUUAGUUUCUUAUUAUUUCUGGUCAUCCAAGAAAACAUUAGAAAUACACGAGGCAUUCUUAUUUUUAAAUAGAGCCUCCCAACUGAUUUAAAUAUUUUAUCAAGACAAAUCCAUGUUAUGGUAAACCUUUAUAAUACAAUUAUGAUUCCCUAUCCUAAGAGGUGGAAUCUAUAAAACCAUAAAACACAUCAGGAUGUACAAUAGUUUAAAAAAUCAAGAAGUAAAAAACUAUUUGAUGAUUCGAUUAUAUGACCCAAACAAAGACAUAGCUUAAUUUUCUGAAAUCUGUUAAUUCUUCUAGGUGAUGUGCAGUCUUUCAAGGAAUGCUACACCUUGAUAUGAAACUAAUAUUACAUGUUUUUCACAAAAUGAAUCAGCAAAGCUACAGUUACAUGAAUAGAAAUGAUAAAAAUUGAGUCAGUUUUAGCCAUUAACUGUAAUGGAACCAAGCCCCUGCAUGGAUAGUGUGUUUUCUCAUCAUUAGUGCAUCACAUGCUUGUGUAACAUUUGUCAUUCCACAUGUUUUGUGCCCAUGUGUUUGAGAAGAGCAUACACUCCCAACACUUACAGAAAGUGUUGUGUAAGCACAUGUUGAUGCUUGGCUGUGUGUGUUGCCGUGAAUAAACACUGUUCCAUGUAUGGGUAUUGCACUGUAGGUAUCCCACCAGGGACAUAUGCUUUGUGAGAUGUUAGUGCAUGGUGAGUUAACCGUCUGAGGACUAAAAUAGCUCAUAGCACAGAUGAAUGACUCCUCUGGCCUGGAAAGAGGUCAGCGUGUUUGCACUUUUCCUAUUGAGAUCAUCAUGUCUCUAGAAGGCUUUGCUAUGGACUUUUAGUGCCAGCUUGUGUUUCGAUGCAUGUUCAGCACACUGCCUUGCAUCUGUGUUUGCAGGUUUAGGUCUGUAAAGUCCAAUUUGUAACACGGACAAAACGUUUGACCUUGCUGUCCACCUGAAUCCUCCCUCCUUCUCAGCCUUUUUUUAACGAGAUAGUUUCUCUCAUUAGGGGAACUCUGAAAGAAAGGGCAAUAGUGGAACUAUUUUUUUUAACCCUCCAAGCUCAGGGAAGAGCUGUGAAUCACCAGCAGGGCAUUUUACCAUGAAGGUGAGUUAAAAAGGAAUGGGUGAUUAUAGCUGCUCUAUUUAGGGAACGAAGAGAGAGAGAGCAAGAAAGGGUGGAAGGAAAAAGAAAGGGAUGGAUCAGUUGUAGGGUGAGCAGGAAUUCUCUUUGUUCCGACUUCAAAGACCACUAUAGUCACCCUGAGCCUUUCAUUCAUGCUUCAUUUGAGAUAUAAACAUAAAAGCAGUGAGUAAAGGUCCCUGUAUAGUGAGGAUGUGAGGGGAAGUAACACGACUUUUAAGGUGAUAAUGAAAUUCAACAACAGGGGAUGUGGGUGACUACAGCACAACUGCAGUGUUGCACAGGUUUUGCUUUCUAAACAGUCUGGUGGGUGCCACCUGCAGUAAAUGUCACUUUCUCUGUUAAUGUUCGUGAGUUUGUAUUUGGCCACAGGUAGUUGUGGAAUGCAGCAGAGCUGGAAGCAGUAAACCUCCAGGGAACAGAGCCAUCUCCACAGGGGUUUUAAUGCUGCCAUUCUCCUCACAAGAAAAGCUCCCCACAGGUGGAAUCCCUGACGUUCACCUGUUAACUUUCUCUCUGCGGGACCCCGGAGCGUUCUGUUGACUUCUUGAUGCACCACUUUAGUUGUAGCUUUUGUAGCGGAAUAUAGUUAGUAUAUUCUUACACUUUUAUUAAGGUCCAGAGAUUAAUCUUUGGACCGGGCACUUAGAAUCAGAAGAGGUUGUUUUUACCACAGGGAAUUUUAUUCAAACACUUGUAUUGACUUAGAGACAAGAAAAGAGAGAGAUGGGACGUUUAAGAAUAUUUAUUUUAUAAUUAUUCGAAACAAUCACCAGGACUAACUCUCUAUGAUGGAUGCAUAUGGAUUUGGAUGCUGAAGUGUUGGUGUGUGUGUGUCAGUUCAGAAUCUCCAUCUGAUGCAGGCGAGUCUGGGUGUAAGAUGUUGUUUUGACUAACUAACCACGAGGGACUUCAGGAGGAAGAGACAUGAAACGCCAUCUAUGCCGAACUACGUACCUUCGGAGACUCCCGUGUAUGAUCCGGAAUGCCAGGUCCUCGGACCCUCCUUUGGUGCUGGAACUGAUAGCACAGCGUCUGCAGCAUGACAAACCAGUCUACGGAUCGACUCCCGGUAGCAAUGGCAGGUGUCAGCGUCACGUAAAGAGUUCAGCUUUUAUUCUGAAGGAACCAUCGUCUUGUUGAUAAAACGACAGAAUUUUCCAGCUUGACAGUUCUCAGCUUAAAAGUAGAAAAUACAGCUGGCCAGUCUGUACUUCACUUAGCGAUGAUGGAUUUGAGAGCUGGUCGAGUACUUGGUUGGAACUGCGUUGAACCAAGUUGAACUACGUUGAAGAGCUUCGUUCGAACUGACUUAAAAUGGCGUUGUUCUGUUUUAUUAACUUAGUUGUUUAUAAUUCUUAGCAAAUCAGAGUGGACAGAUUAACUAAACACCACAGAGCUCUGCUCCACAACAGAAAAGAAGUUCUGAUUGGAUGAGGGAUGAAUGUGUCAUGUUUUUAUCUUAUGUGGAUAAGAAUGUCUAGCUCAGUUAGUCCUGUUAUUCAUUAAACACAUAAAUCAUAACAUUGUGAUUUCACAGAUCGGUCACCUGAUUAUUAUUGACCAACAGUUGUUUUGAUUAGCUUUAUUAGAAAUAAAGUUCUUUGAUUAACUAAUGAAAA